Fusarium langsethiae is the source of this 120-nucleotide transfer RNA. It matches the Rfam family "tRNA". From Rfam's summary of the family: Transfer RNA (tRNA) molecules are approximately 80 nucleotides in length. Their secondary structure includes four short double-helical elements and three loops (D, anti-codon, and T loops). The record is from Rfam. NCBI's taxonomy places the organism in Eukaryota, Fungi, Ascomycota, Sordariomycetes, Hypocreales, Nectriaceae.
GUCGGUGUGGCUCAGUUGGUUAGAGCGUUGGUCUCAUAGUACAUCUGUUUUCAGUUUGACAUGACUUGAUUAAACAUCAGGGCCAUCCAAAGGUCGAGAGUUCGAGCCUCUCCACCGACA